GAUGAACGCUGGCGGCGUGCUUAACACAUGCAAGUCGAACGAAGCACUUUAUUUGAUUUCCUUCGGGACUGAUUAUUUUGUGACUGAGUGGCGGACGGGUGAGUAACGCGUGGGUAACCUGCCUUGUACAGGGGGAUAACAGUUGGAAACGGCUGCUAAUACCGCAUAAGCGCACAGCAUCGCAUGAUGCAGUGUGAAGAACUCCGGUGGUAUAAGAUGGACCCGCGUUGGAUUAGCUAGUUGGUGAGGUAACGGCCCACCAAGGCGACGAUCCAUAGCCGACCUGAGAGGGUGACCGGCCACAUUGGGACUGAGACACGGCCCAAACUCCUACGGGAGGCAGCAGUGGGGAAUAUUGCACAAUGGGCGAAAGCCUGAUGCAGCGACGCCGCGUGAGCGAAGAAGUAUUUCGGUAUGUAAAGCUCUAUCAGCAGGGAAGAUAAUGACGGUACCUGACCAAGAAGCACCGGCUAAAUACGUG
RNAcentral lists this ribosomal RNA (481 nucleotides) under uncultured bacterium. RNAcentral describes it as "partial 16S ribosomal RNA". It matches the Rfam family "Bacterial small subunit ribosomal RNA", at positions 28 to 507 of the family's 1533-position model. The record is from RNAcentral.